RNAcentral lists this long non-coding RNA (1212 nucleotides) under Marmota monax (woodchuck). The record is from RNAcentral. Lineage: Eukaryota; Metazoa; Chordata; Mammalia; Rodentia; Sciuridae.
CCUUACUGGGCUGAGGGGGCGGGGAGCUCCAGGCCUCUGGUGACCUUGCUCCGACGUCUUGGGGCUGCUCCCCACCAAGGAAGGAUCGCGGGCGCCAGGGCUGAGGGCAGGUGGGGGCCACUGCCUCGGAGCCACUAUGGGGCCAGCACAGGGAAGGUCCGGCUUCCAAGGCCACCUUCUCAUCUGUGACCGUGGGCGAGUUCUUUUCCCUCUCUAAGCCUGAGUCCCUCAACUGUCACAUGGGGUCAGUGAUGCUCAUCUUGUGUUUGCGUCAUUCAGUGGCUUGGUAUGCAGGCAAGUUCUGUCCCUGCGUCCGCCCACAGGCCUGAGGGCCUUCUAAUAAGGGAGAGGCGAAUGGCAAGGCAGCUUCUGGAGGCUAGGGAUUAUGAGCACGGGUUUCCAAAUCAGGAAGAUCUGAGUUUGAAUCUUGCCUCUGCAACAUACCAGCUGUGUGUUUUUAGGCAAGUCACAUUCCCUCUCUGAGCCUCAAUAUCCUCUGCUAUAAAACUGGCACAAUAAUAUAGUCUCUACCUCAUAAAAUGUUGGCAGGAGGACUGGGAAUGUGGCUCAGUGGUAGAGUGCUUGCCUGGCACGUGCAAGGCCCUGGGCCCAGUUCCCAGCACCACAAACAGAACAAAACCAGAAAUGUCUGCAAGGGUUCAGAGACAUGGUCCUAUGGCGGGUGGCACAGGGAGCCUGGAAGAGGAGAGCUGCUCAACGAGUGGCGCCCACUCCCCUCCCCAAACUGCAGCCCGUUCUCCCCACUGCCUCGGUGCCUCGGCACAUUUGCAGGUGUUAGAUAAAAGCGUCUGGGCCAGUCAGCACCCUGCACCUGGGGCCUCCUCAACCCCCCUUGAACUUCUCUGGUACAGUCCCCCUCCUUGUCCCUGCCCGGCCCAUGUCUCUGUGUGCUGUUGACCCCGCUCCUGUUGGGACUCAGCUCCUUUGAGCCCCUCCCUACAACCACGCACAAGCACCCUUUUCACAGGGAGGAGAGUCUACACUGUAGGCACACAAGUGAGCUGAACAAGCCCCGUCAGGAUUGUCACUGCUGUGCAGUCUGCCUGCCCUCUGAGUGCAUCCCUGGCUUGCUCCGUCCUACCGUCACUAGUCCAUAGAUUCCCUGGGGGCCAGGGCUAUGGCCUUCAUCCACUGUGUCCCAGCACCCAGCACAGUCAGUACCUGGCCCACAGUCAGUGGGUAGCUCGGAAC